This 348-nucleotide unclassified non-coding RNA is filed under the name soil metagenome. Its description in RNAcentral is "partial contains 5.8S ribosomal RNA, internal transcribed spacer 2, and large subunit ribosomal RNA". The stretch from base 1 to 120 matches the Rfam family "5.8S ribosomal RNA", at positions 35 to 154 of the family's 154-position model. The record is from RNAcentral.
GAUGAAGAACGUAGCGAAAUGCGAUAAGUAAUGUGAAUUGCAGAAUUCAGUGAAUCAUCGAAUCUUUGAACGCACAUUGCGCCCGCCAGUAUUCUGGCGGGCAUGCCUGUCUGAGCGUCAUUUCAACCCUCAUGCCCCUAGGGCGUGGUGUUGGGGAUCGGCCAAAGCCCGCGAGGGACGGCCGGCCCCUAAAUCUAGUGGCGGACCCGUCGUGGCCUCCUCUGCGAAGUAGUGAUAUUCCGCAUCGGAGAGCGAUGAGCCCCUGCCGUUACACCCCCAACUUUCCAAGGUUGACCUCAGAUCAGGUAGGAAUACCCGCUGAACUUAAGCAUAUCAAUAAGCGGAGGA